This 339-nucleotide transfer-messenger RNA is filed under the name Chloroflexota bacterium. RNAcentral's name for it is "partial transfer-messenger RNA". It matches the Rfam family "transfer-messenger RNA", at positions 44 to 374 of the family's 374-position model. Rfam says of the family: Bacterial tmRNA, also known as 10Sa RNA or SsrA, is named for its dual tRNA and mRNA-like properties. Its role is to liberate the mRNA from a stalled ribosome. To accomplish this part of the tmRNA is used as a reading frame that ends in a translation stop signal. Lineage: Bacteria; Bacillati; Chloroflexota. The record is from RNAcentral.
CGCGAGCCGAGGAUGCUGCUCAGGCCUCGUUAAUCAGGCAGCAAAACGAAGUACCUGGCAACCGCCAGUCGACUCUCGCCCUCGCUGCGUAAGCAGCUAGUGUGAGCGUGGAAGCCACCUCGUCCUCGCGGGUGGUGGAAGCGUCAUUCAGCGAGGAUGCGCACCGGGCAAGCGUCGCGUAGCCCGGUGACAAGCCCGAUCUAGGGACACGUGACUGGACUGCCCGGCAGAGUGCCGAUGCCCGUCCGGGCGGUCGACGACAAAUCAUCGGAUACGCUCGUAGUUGGUCUCCGGCGAAGGGUUCUGGACGGGGAGUUCGACUCUCCCCCAUCUCCACCA